Molecule: ribosomal RNA, 735 nt
Filed under: Barssia maroccana
Lineage: Eukaryota; Fungi; Ascomycota; Pezizomycetes; Pezizales; Helvellaceae
Description: eukaryotic LSU rRNA
Rfam family: Eukaryotic large subunit ribosomal RNA
Source: RNAcentral
UUGCCCCAGUAACGGCGAGUGAAGCGGCAUGAGCUCAAAUUUGAAAUCUCGCGCGUCUCCGACGUCCCGAGUUGUAAUUUGGAGAGGCAUUUUCCGGGCCAGCGCCAGACCAUGUUCCUUGGAACAGGACGCCACAGAGGGUGAGAGCCCCGUGCAUGCCUGGCUGCCUGGACCCUUGCGAAGUGUCUUCGACGAGUCGAGUUGUUUGGGAAUGCAGCUCCAAGUGGGUGGUAAAUUUCAUCUAAAGCUAAAUACCGGCGAGAGACCGAUAGCGCACAAGUAGAGUGAUCGAAAGAUGAAAAGCACUUUGAAAAUAGAGUUAAAAAGUACGUGAAAUUGUUGAAAGGGAAGCGCUUGAGAUCAGACUCAGCCCCUGGCAAACAGCCUGCCCGAGCCAUCGGCGGUGCACUUGCCUGGGGCCGGGCCAGCAUCGGUUGGAGUGGCGGGACAAAGGUGUCAGGAACGUGGCUCCCCUUGGGGAGCGUUAUAGCCUGGCGCGCAAUGCCGCCAACUCCGACCGAGGGCCGCGCCUUGGCGAGGAUGCUGGCACAAUGGUCUUCAGCGACCCGUCUUGAAACACGGACCAAGGAGUCUAACAACUACGCGAGUGUUUGGGUGUCAAACCCUUGCGCGAAAUGAAAGUGAACGUAGGUGGGACUGCCCCUCCUCGUGGGGGCCAAUGCACCAUCGACCGAUCCUGAUGUCCUCGGAUGGAUUUGAGUAGGAGCGUAGCUG